AUGGCUCAGGAUGAACGCUAGCGACAGGCCUAACACACGCAAGUCGAGGGGCAGCGGAGUUAGCAAUAAACUGCCGGCGACCGGCGCACGGGUGCGUAACACGUAUGCAAUCUACCCGUUAAGCGGGGGGAUAACCCGGAGAAAUCCGGACUAACACCGCAUAACAUUGCAGUUCCGCGUGGAACCACAAUUAAAUAUUUAUAGCUUAAGGAUGAGCAUGCGCAUGAUUAGCUGGUUGGCGGGGUAACAGCCCACCAAGGCAACGAUCAUUAGGGGUUCUGAGAGGAAGGUCCCCCACACUGGUACUGAGACACGGACCAGACUCCUACGGGAGGCAGCAGUGAGGAAUAUUGGUCAAUGGGCGCAAGCCUGAACCAGCCAAGUCGCCGUGAAGGAGGACCGUCCUAUGGAUUGUAAACUUCUUUUGUACAAGAAUAAAGUGUCCUACGUGUAGGAUUUUGUAUGUACUGUACGAAUAAGCAUCGGCUAACUCCGUGCCAGCCGCUGC
Molecule: ribosomal RNA, 508 nt
Filed under: uncultured bacterium
Lineage: Bacteria
Description: bacterial SSU rRNA
Rfam family: Bacterial small subunit ribosomal RNA
Source: RNAcentral